Molecule: ribosomal RNA, 503 nt
Filed under: uncultured bacterium
Lineage: Bacteria
Description: partial 16S ribosomal RNA
Rfam family: Bacterial small subunit ribosomal RNA
Source: RNAcentral
AUUGAACGCUGGAGGCAGGCUUAACACAUGCAAGUCGAGCGGGGUGAUGGUGCUUGCACUAUCACUUAGCGGCGGACGGGUGAGUAAUGCUUAGGAAUCUGCCUAUUAGUGGGGGACAACAUCUCGAAAGGGAUGCUAAUACCGCAUACGUCUUAGGGGAGAAAGCAGGGGAUCACUUGUGACAUUGCGCUAAUAGAUGAGCCUAAGUCGGAUUAGCUAGUUGGUGGGGUAAAGGCCUACCAAGGCGACGAUCUGUAGCGGCUCUGAGAGGAUGAUCCGCCACACUGGGACUGAGACGCGGCCCAGACUCCUACGGGAGGCAGCAGUGGGGAAUAUUGGACAAUGGGGGGAACCCUGAUCCAGCCAUGCCGCGUGUGUGAAGAAGGCCUUAUGGUUGUAAAGCACUUUAAGCGAGGAGGAGGCUCUUUUGGUUAAUACCCAAGAUGAGUGGACGUUACUCGCAGAAUAAGCACCGGCUAACUCUGUGCCAGCCGCCGCCGUAA